This 84-nucleotide transfer RNA is filed under the name Armatimonadota bacterium. RNAcentral describes it as "tRNA-Ala". The record is from RNAcentral. Lineage: Bacteria; Bacillati; Armatimonadota.
GGAACUUAGAGAGGGACCCCCGAGCCUGCCGAGUUUGCAAUCGCACUGCAGAGGUCGAGGGUUCGAAUCCCUUCAUCUCCACCA